CUGGAUUUUCAUUAGAACAGC
This 21-nucleotide microRNA is filed under the name Picea abies (Norway spruce). RNAcentral's name for it is "pab-miR11468". The record is from miRBase by way of RNAcentral. Lineage: Eukaryota; Viridiplantae; Streptophyta; Pinopsida; Pinales; Pinaceae.